Non-coding RNA from Nematostella vectensis (starlet sea anemone), 73 nucleotides. NCBI's taxonomy places the organism in Eukaryota, Metazoa, Cnidaria, Anthozoa, Actiniaria, Edwardsiidae. The record is from Rfam.
GCCCGGCUAACUCAGUAUGUAGAGCAUGGGACUCUUAAUCCCAGUGUCGUGGGUUCGAGCCCCACGUUGGGCG